CCUACGGGUGGCAGCAGUAAGGAAUCUUGGGCAAUGGCCGUAAGGCUGAACCAGCCACGUCGCGUGAAGGAAGAAGGAUCUAUGAUUGGUAAACUUCUUUUAUAGGGAAAUAAAGGUGUCCACGUGUUGAUGUUUUCAUGUACCCUAUGAAUACUCAUAGGCUAAGUCCGUGCCGGCAGCCGCGUUAAGACGGAGGAUGCGAGCGUUAUCCGAAUUUAUUGUGUGUAAAGGGUGCGUAGGUUGUUUUUUAAGUCAGCUGUGAAAGUUUGUGGCUCAACCAGAAAGUUGCAGGUGAAACUGGAAGACUUGAGUGUGUGUGAGGAAGGAGGAAUUCGAGGUGUAGCGGUGAAAUGCACAGAGAUAACGCAGAACUCCGAUUGCGAAGGCAGCUUACUAGGCUAUAACUGACACUGAUGUACGAAAGCGUGGGGAUCAAACAGGAUUAGAUACCCGGGUAGUC
Molecule: ribosomal RNA, 460 nt
Filed under: uncultured bacterium
Lineage: Bacteria
Description: partial 16S ribosomal RNA
Rfam family: Bacterial small subunit ribosomal RNA
Source: RNAcentral